AACGAACGCUGGCGGCAUGCCUAACACAUGCAAGUCGAACGAGACCUUCGGGUCUAGUGGCGCACGGGUGCGUAACACGUGGGAAUCUGCCCUUUGCUUCGGAAUAACAGUUAGAAAUGACUGCUAAUACCGGAUGAUGUCGAAAGACCAAAGAUUUAUCGGCAAAGGAUGAGCCCGCGUAGGAUUAGGUAGUUGGUGGGGUAAAGGCAUACCAAGCCGACGAUCCUUAGCUGGUCUGAGAGGAUGAUCAGCCACACUGGGACUGAGACACGGCCCAGACUCCUACGGGAGGCAGCAGUGGGGAAUAUUGGACAAUGGGCGAAAGCCUGAUCCAGCAAUGCCGCGUGAGUGAUGAAGGCGUUAGGGUUGUAAAGCUCUUUUACCAGGGAUGAUAAUGACAGUACCUGGAGAAUAAGCUCCGGCUAACUCCGUG
Molecule: ribosomal RNA, 433 nt
Filed under: uncultured bacterium
Lineage: Bacteria
Description: partial 16S ribosomal RNA
Rfam family: Bacterial small subunit ribosomal RNA
Source: RNAcentral